UGUCCCGCGCGCGCGCCGCUCGCACGCUCCCCGCGCGGAGCGCUUGUGUGGGCUCCGGCGCGGCCAUGGCUCAGCACUUCUCCCUGGCCGCCUGCGACGUGGUCGGCUUCGACCUGGACCACACUCUGUGUCGCUACAACCUGCCCGAGAGCGCCCGGCUCGUUUAUAAUAGCUUUGCCCAGUUCCUGGUCAAGGAGAAGGGGUAUGACAAGGAAUUGCUUACUGUGACUCCAGAGGAUUGGGAUUUCUGUUGCAAGGGCCUGGCAUUGGAUCUGGAAGAUGGGAGCUUCAUUAAACUUGCAGAUAAUGGCACUGUGCUCAGGGCAAGCCGUGGCACAAAGAUGGUGGCUGCGCAGGCGCUGGCAGAGGAGUAUGGCAGCAAGGAGUGGAAGCACUUCAUGAUGGACACAGAGACGGCUUCCCGAUCAGGAAAAUAUUAUUUUUAUGAUAACUACUUCGAUCUGCCAGGAGCCCUUCUAUGCGCCAGAGUGGUGGACUAUUUAACAAAGCAGAACAAUGGUCAAAAAACAUUUGAUUUUUGGAAGGAUAUAAUUGCUGCUAUACAACACAAUUAUAAAAUGUCAGCUUUUAAGGAAAACUGUGGAAUAUAUUUUCCAGAAAUAAAAAGAGAUCCAGGCAAAUAUGUACACAGGUGUCCCGAAUCUGUAAAAAAGUGGCUUCGACAACUUAAGAAUGCAGGGAAGAUUCUUCUCCUAAUUACCAGUUCUCACAGUGAUUACUGUCGACUUCUCUGUGAAUAUAUCCUUGGGAAUGAUUUUCCAGAUCUUUUCGAUGUCAUUAUUACAAAUGCAUUGAAGCCUGGUUUCUUCUCUCAUUUACCAAGUCAAAGGCCUUUCUGGACACUUGAGAAUGAUGAGGAGCAGGAGGCAUUGCCAUCUCUAGAUAAACCUGGCUGGUACUCCCAAGGGAAUGCUGUUCACCUUUAUGAACUUCUGAAGAAAAUGACUGGCAAAGCUGAACCCAAGGUGGCUUACUUUGGUGACAGCAUGCAUUCAGAUAUUUUUCCAGCCCGUCAUUAUAGAAACUGGGAGACGGUCCUCAUCUUGGAAGAGCUCAGAGAGGACAGGGAUGGGACAGCUGAGGAAUCCGAGCCACUAGAGAAAAAAGGAAAAUAUGAGGAGCCAAAGUCAAAACCUCUAAAUACAUUAUCUAAAAAAUGGGGCUCUUUUUUUGUUGAUUCCAUUUCGGGACUGGAAAAUACAGAAGACUCCUUGGUUUAUACAUGGUCUUGCAAGAGAAUCAGUACUUACAGCACUAUUGCAAUUCCAAGUAUUGAAGCAAUAGCAGAAUUAUCCCUGGACUACAAAUUUACAAGGUUCUCUUCAAACAAUUCAAAAAUCGCUGGCUACUAUCCAAACCCUCCAUUGGUCUUAUCAAGUGCUGAGGAAGCCAAAAUGAAGGAGAGAUGAAACUGGUCCAAGUAACCUUAGAAAGAGAUGAGCUAUCUGGGCCUAUGGAGAAGUUGGGUCAUUAUAAUGACAGCCACACCAGCACAUAGACUGCUUGACAAUCAGAUCUUGCAGCCCACGGUAAUUCUACUAGAGAAUGGACAAAUCUUUAUUUCCCAAACCUUGUAAUGACAAUAGCUCCUGAACAACAAAACUAAUGCUACUGGUAA
RNA transcript from Talpa occidentalis (Iberian mole), 1639 nucleotides. It is a transcript of the gene named 5'-nucleotidase domain containing 1, with no coding region annotated. The record is from RefSeq and is a predicted model, not a curated record. Lineage: Eukaryota; Metazoa; Chordata; Mammalia; Eulipotyphla; Talpidae. The transcript has 14 exons.